RNAcentral lists this ribosomal RNA (506 nucleotides) under uncultured bacterium. RNAcentral's name for it is "bacterial SSU rRNA". It matches the Rfam family "Bacterial small subunit ribosomal RNA", at positions 8 to 507 of the family's 1533-position model. The record is from RNAcentral.
AGAGUUUGAUCAUGGCUCAGAUUGAACGCUGGCGGCAUGCCUUACACAUGCAAGUCGAACGGCAGUACGGGAGCUUGCUCCUGGUGGCGAGUGGCGAACGGGUGAGUAAUACAUCGGAACGUACCCUGAAGUGGGGGAUAACGUAGCGAAAGUUACGCUAAUACCGCAUAUUCUGUGAGCAGGAAAGAGGGGGAUCGCAAGACCUCUUGCUUUAGGUGCGGCCGAUGUCGGAUUAGCUAGUUGGUGAGGUAAAGGCUCACCAAGGCGACGAUCCGUAGCGGGUCUGAGAGGAUGAUCCGCCACACUGGGACUGAGACACGGCCCAGACUCCUACGGGAGGCAGCAGUGGGGAAUUUUGGACAAUGGGCGCAAGCCUGAUCCAGCCAUGCCGCGUGAGUGAAGAAGGCCUUCGGGUUGUAAAGCUCUUUCGGUGGGGAAGAAAUUGCUUCGGUUAAUACCUGGAGUAGAUGACGGUACCCGCAUAAGAAGCACCGGCUAACUACGUG